RNAcentral lists this ribosomal RNA (478 nucleotides) under Prevotella sp. oral taxon 317. RNAcentral describes it as "bacterial SSU rRNA". It matches the Rfam family "Bacterial small subunit ribosomal RNA", at positions 28 to 494 of the family's 1533-position model. The record is from RNAcentral. Lineage: Bacteria; Pseudomonadati; Bacteroidota; Bacteroidia; Bacteroidales; Prevotellaceae.
GAUGAACGCUAGCUACAGGCCUUAACACAUGCAAGUCGCGGGGCAGCAUGGGGGUUGCUUGCAACCCCUGAUGGCGACCGGCGCACGGGUGAGUAACGCGUAUCCAACCUGCCCUUCACCACGGGAUAACCCGGCGAAAGUCGGAGUAAUACCGUAUGUUGUCCAUUGACGGCAUCCGAUUUGGACGAAAGGCUUAGCGGUGAGGGAUGGGGAUGCGUCCGAUUAGCUUGACGGCGGGGUAACGGCCCACCGUGGCUACGAUCGGUAGGGGUUCUGAGAGGAAGGUCCCCCACACUGGAACUGAGACACGGUCCAGACUCCUACGGGAGGCAGCAGUGAGGAAUAUUGGUCAAUGGGCGGAAGCCUGAACCAGCCAAGUAGCGUGCAGGAUGACGGCCCUAUGGGUUGUAAACUGCUUUUAUGCGGGGAUAAAGGAGCCCACGUGUGGGCUUUUGCAGGUACCGCAUGAAUAAGACCG